GAUGAACGCUAGCGGCAGGCCUAACACAUGCAAGUCGAGGGGUAGCAGGAUUAAGCUUGCUUAAUUGCUGACGACCGGCGCACGGGUGCGUAACGCGUAUGCAACCUACCUUAUACUGGGGUAUAGCCCGGAGAAAUUCGGAUUAAUCCCCCAUAGUACUAAUGAAUCGCAUGGUUUAUUAGUUAAAGCAUUGCGGUAUAAGAUGGGCAUGCGUCCUAUUAGCUAGAUGGUGAGGUAACGGCUCACCAUGGCUACGAUAGGUAGGGGGCCUGGGAGGGUGGUCCCCCACACUGGUACUGAGAGACGGACCAGACUCCUACGGGAGGCAGCAGUGAGGAAUAUUUGUCAAUGGGCGCAAGCCUGAACCAGCCAUGCCGCGUGCAGGAAGAAUGCCCUAUGGGUUGUAAACUGCUUUUAUUUGGGAAUAAACCUCUUUACGUGUAGAGAGCUGAAGGUACCAAAUGAAUAAGCACCGGCUAACUCCGUGCCAGCCGCCGCCGUAA
RNAcentral lists this ribosomal RNA (503 nucleotides) under uncultured bacterium. RNAcentral describes it as "partial 16S ribosomal RNA". It matches the Rfam family "Bacterial small subunit ribosomal RNA", at positions 28 to 523 of the family's 1533-position model. The record is from RNAcentral.